This is a non-coding RNA of Eubacterium sp. CAG:252, 114 nucleotides long. The record is from Rfam. NCBI's taxonomy places the organism in Bacteria, Bacillati, Bacillota, Clostridia, Eubacteriales, Eubacteriaceae.
UAUCAACUUCAGGGCAGGGUUUAAUUCCCUACCGGCGGUACAGCCCGCAAGCGUUAUGCAUGAACUGGUGUAAUUCCAGUGCCGACAGUAUAGUCUGGAUGAGAGAAGUUAUAU